Molecule: non-coding RNA, 255 nt
Organism: Pelobates cultripes (western spadefoot toad)
Lineage: Eukaryota; Metazoa; Chordata; Amphibia; Anura; Pelobatidae
Source: the annotation of a GenBank genome assembly
GUGCUAUCUUCCUUGCCUGUUCAAGCCAGUAACUAAAAACAUUGGCAUUCUGCGGGAUUAGCAAUGUGUACAUUGCAGGUUUUAAAUUAAUCUAGUAGCUGUAACACUGAUAGCCACAAAAGAUACAACAGCAGAAAUAUAGUGAAAAGUGGAUUUCUCCAUUAGCUGGUCUCAGAGACAUUUGAUUGGCGGAGCUUGACAUAUUGCCACACAUGCGCACUUACCUGAGAUUGGCAGCGCGGAGACAGUCGCUAC